GAUGAAGAACGCAGCGAAAUGCGAUAAGUAAUGUGAAUUGCAGAAUUCAGUGAAUCAUCGAAUCUUUGAACGCAUAUUGCGCUCUUUGGUAUUCCGAAGAGCAUGCUUGUUUGAGUAUCAGUAAACACCUCAACCUCUUCUUGAUUUUUCAAAAGGAGGGUGGACUUGAGCUAUCCCAACAACCUUUACCGGUCGGCGGGCGGCUUGAAAUGCAGGUGCAGCUGGACUUUUAUCUGAGCUAAAAGCAUAUCUAUUUAGUCCUCGUCAAACAGGAUUAUUACUUUUGCUGCAGCUAACAUAAAGGAUAAUUGUCCUCUUUGCUGACUGAUGCAGGAUUUUACGACACUUUAUGUGUUGUUCAACUCGAUCUCAAAUCAAGUAAGACUACCCGCUGAACUUAAGCAUAUCAAUAAGCGGAGGA
Molecule: unclassified non-coding RNA, 421 nt
Filed under: soil metagenome
Description: partial contains 5.8S ribosomal RNA, internal transcribed spacer 2, and large subunit ribosomal RNA
Rfam family: 5.8S ribosomal RNA (bases 1-120)
Source: RNAcentral